CCGUACUGCUGGAGUUUACUAUGAGAGCCCAGGGUAGGAUGCAAUAUAAAGAAUAUAUCAGCUUGGUAAAAGACUUCUGUGCAAGGAAGAGGGAGCUAUACCAAGAAUUCUUUGAAUGGAAAACACUGGACUGAGAGCGAUGAGAGUCACAGUGACAAGAACUCAGUAGAAUCAUGGCAUAAGGAUCCAAACUCAAAAGUCUCUCACAGAUGGGAUAAAUGGCCUUCGUUUGGCUCUCAGAAGAGCAAGGAAUCUACAGAGGACACUUUUCUCAGGAACUGUAGCCAUCGUCAAAGUUCCUUUUCAA
Long non-coding RNA from Lagopus leucura (white-tailed ptarmigan), 307 nucleotides. RefSeq lists it as uncharacterized. The transcript is spliced from 4 exons. The record is from RefSeq and is a predicted model, not a curated record. NCBI's taxonomy places the organism in Eukaryota, Metazoa, Chordata, Aves, Galliformes, Phasianidae.